Callorhinus ursinus (northern fur seal) is the source of this 80-nucleotide non-coding RNA. The record is from RefSeq and is a predicted model, not a curated record. NCBI's taxonomy places the organism in Eukaryota, Metazoa, Chordata, Mammalia, Carnivora, Otariidae.
AGGCAGGGGGACCCAGUUGGUCAUUGAGCCUUUACCUGAAUGCUUCAAAAGACAGAAAGCUCACUAGUUUAUAACGCAUC